Molecule: ribosomal RNA, 253 nt
Filed under: uncultured bacterium
Lineage: Bacteria
Description: partial 16S ribosomal RNA
Rfam family: Bacterial small subunit ribosomal RNA
Source: RNAcentral
UACGUAGGGCGCAAGCGUUGUCCGGAAUUAUUGGGCGUAAAGAGCUCGUAGGCGGUUUGUCGCGUCUGUCGUGAAAGCUUGGGGCUUAACCCCAAGUCUGCGGUAGAUACGGGCAGACUAGAGGCAGGUAGGGGAGAACGGAAUUCCCGGUGUAGCGGUGAAAUGCGCAGAUAUCGGGAGGAACACCGGUGGCGAAGGCGGUUCUCUGGGCCUGUACUGACGCUGAGGAGCGAAAGCGUGGGGAGCGAACAGG